UACGACUACAUAUCAGGCAUAUCAAUAAGCGGAGGAAAAGAAACUAACUAGGAUUCCCUCAGUAACGGCGAGUGAAGCGGGAAGAGCUCAAAUUUGAAAUCUUCAAGGUUUUACCUUGACGAAUUGUAGUUUAAAGAAGUGUUUUCUGUUGGAGUUUUGGUAAAAGUUCUUUGGAAUAGGACAUCAUAGAGGGUGAGAAUCCCGUAUUUGACCAUUAUUUCCAGCUUUGUGAUACACUUUCAAAGAGUCGGAUUGUUUGGGAAUGCAGUCCAAAAUGGGUGGUAAAUUUCAUCUAAAGCUAAAUAUUGGCGAGAGACCGAUAGCGAACAAGUACCGUGAGGGAAAGAUGAAAAGAACUUUGAAAAGAGAGUUAAACAGUACGUGAAAUUGUCAAAAGGGAAGCGUUUGACACCAGUGUUGUUUUCUCGAAAAUCAAUUAAAAAAGGUGGGAUUUUGUGUUGUAUUGACCUUAUCAGCUUUCUGCACUCUUUUCUAGUCUUUUUUAAUGCACUUUUCGUUUAACAAGUCAACAUCAAUUUCUUUUGUUGUAAAAGGGUCAUUGGAAGGUGGCUUUCUCUUCGGAGAAAGUGUUUAUAGCCUUUGGCCUCUGCAAUCGGAGAGAUUGAGGUCUGCAGCGUAGAUCCUUCGGGGUUAGAUACAUUUGUGCUAAGUUAUAGCCUUUCAUAGACAACUUGUUGACUAUGAUCAGUCAUGUAGCUUACUCGCUUAUGCUAUUUUACCUACGCUUAGGAUGUUGAGCGCAUGUCUCUCUCU
Molecule: ribosomal RNA, 774 nt
Filed under: uncultured Neocallimastigales
Lineage: Eukaryota; Fungi; Neocallimastigomycota; Neocallimastigomycetes; Neocallimastigales
Description: partial large subunit ribosomal RNA
Rfam family: Eukaryotic large subunit ribosomal RNA
Source: RNAcentral